Molecule: ribosomal RNA, 810 nt
Filed under: Triticum aestivum (bread wheat)
Lineage: Eukaryota; Viridiplantae; Streptophyta; Magnoliopsida; Poales; Poaceae
Description: partial small subunit ribosomal RNA
Source: RNAcentral
AUGAAGCUAUUCUGUGAUGAAGUGCUGGCAACUGUUGUGCCCAUAGCAGUGUACUGGGUGUACUCCGGCGUGUACAUGUGGCUUGGCCAGUGCCAGUCAAUGGACAGGUACAGGCUACACCCCAGGAAGGAGGAGAACGGCAAGAACUUGGUGUCCAAGCGCGACGCCGUCAAGGGCGUCGUCCUGCAGCAGCUCCUCCAGGCCGCCACCGCCGCCGCCAUGUUCACCCUUGUAGGCGAGAGCACCGCGACGGCCACCGGCAGAGCACCGCAGCGGACCUGGACCGGGACGUGCUUGACGGUGGCGUGCCAGAUCGGAGUGGCCAUGGCCGUGCUCGACGGGUGGCAGUACGUGUGGCACCGGUGCAUGCACCUCAACAGGUUCCUGUACCGGCACGUCCACUCGUGGCAUCACCGCCUCGUCGUGCCCUACGCCUUCGGCGCCCUGUACAACCACCCCAUCGAGGGCCUCCUCCUCGACACCAUGGGCGGCGCGCUCGGCUUCCUCGCCUCCGGCAUGUCCCCGCGCGUCUCCAUCUUCUUCUUCACGCUCUGCACCGUCAAGGCCGUCGACGACCACUGCGGCAUGUGGCUGCCGGGGAACAUGUUCCACCGGUGCUUCUGGAACAACACGGCGUACCACGAUGUCCACCAUCAGCUGCGCACUAGUGGAUACAACUUCUCGCAGCCCUUCUUCGUGACAUGGGACAGGGUGUUUGGGACGCACAUGCCCUAUGUGAUCGAGGAAGACAGGGCCCACGGUGUGCUCCGGGCGCGGCCCAUGGCCUUACAUACAUCUGCCGGAAAAUAG